ACUUAGCCUUUACACUAUGUUGGAGAGAAGACGCUUGCUACCUAUGCAUAAUGUGAAAUAAGGUAUAAACAUCGUGGUUGUAAAACUUGAGGUGGGUUUUUAGUACGUAGGCGUGACUACUUUGUAGUCAUAAAUCGUGCAUGCUUCGAGUAGCAGUCAGAAAGCAACUGAGUAGAUAGGGACAGUAGGAAUCUCGUUAAUC
Drosophila persimilis is the source of this 202-nucleotide non-coding RNA. The record is from Rfam. Lineage: Eukaryota; Metazoa; Arthropoda; Insecta; Diptera; Drosophilidae.